This 1607-nucleotide long non-coding RNA is filed under the name Olea europaea (common olive). RNAcentral's name for it is "long non-coding RNA (OEUR_LNC006446)". Lineage: Eukaryota; Viridiplantae; Streptophyta; Magnoliopsida; Lamiales; Oleaceae. The record is from RNAcentral.
UUAGAAGAUCUUCUUGAUAAAGUAAUAUGUUAUGGUUGAAUCUUGAAAUCAAUGGAUGCUUUAGAUCAUCAAAGAAUUGAUCUCCGUAGAAUAAAUUUGAUUCAACACACUAUGGAACGUCCAUGGGGGUUCAAUAUAUAUACGAAAAAGUGUUUGGGAUGAAAAAAGAAUGGAAAAUCAGUGUUUUACUUAAACAGAGAUUUCUAGAUGUCAAUCGCCGAUCGAGCGCUAGGCGAUUGGUGCGCAUAUCCCUCAAGCGCCAGUCUCGCGUUGGCGAACAACAGAUGUUCUACUUUUGCCACUUGAGCAUCGGCUUGGUGGUAGGCUAGCGGAAACGAGUCCUCGAUAUCAACUUCUAUAAAUUUGAAUCUUGAUAUGCGUCUUGUAUUUCUUUGACUUCUUUUUGGACUUUGUCAACCCCAAACAGUACUUACCAUAACUUGGACUAUUGUAAACCUAUUUUGGCUUUGAUUACAAUAUAAUUAAAACAUAAUACUACUCUAAUAAAUUAAAAUUUUUGUCUUCAAAAAUUACCAAUUACAAAAUAGACUUUACAAUUUUGUUGCUUAGACAAACUUCGCUUAGAAUUCUAUUGUUGGUUAGUCAUAUUUGAUCUCUCCUACGGUUGAGUAUUAGAAACCCUAAUACUAUACCACCAAUAGCUAUGCAAUUGCAUUAAGGAGACAAGGACUAAAGAACAAACAAAAUCUAUAAAGGUUCAAUUCAAUGGGAGAUUACGUCCUCGUCCGUCACUACAAGUGCGAAAUUUAAAUUAUCAUUGAUGAAAUUUUGGUAUCCCUAAGAGAUGCGACCUCAUUGUUGAGGUCGAUUCACGUAUGGAUUCCGCACGUUGAUACUUUAACAUAAUGGUGCUUGCUAUUCUUGUUUAAGCUAAAGCAUAUUUACAAUUGAAUUGGUGGUCGAACUUUUGUUUAUUUGUAUUUGCAACCUCUAUUAGAGACACAACAUUUAUAUAUGUUAGAAACUAUAAAUCGAAUGAAAUUGAAAUAGAAACAAUGAAGAAAAUUGCCUACAAGGUUAAAAACAAUUGUUAAAAGAAAGAUUGCUAUAUUAAUUUUAAAAUAGCAAUACAAUCAAAAUAAUCAUGGAAAAUUAAGAAAAUAUUAUGAGGAUCACAUUCUUUUGAUUUCUUUAGUCUCUCUAAAACUCAAUAUUAAGACGCUAAGUGGACAGACUUUAUUUAUAAAUAUAAAUAUUAUGAGAAUAACACAUAUGUCACGUAAUUUAUAAAUAUAACAAUUGAAAUAUAUAAAUAUGAUAGGACCCUGACUACUGAGGCAUUAAACACAAAGGACUAUCACCAAGGAAAGCAAAAAAUCACGAUUCUGGUUAGCUAGGAAGGAGAUAACCUACCCCAACCAAGUGGAAAAAAACAAAAAGGAAGAAUCAAAAAACAAAAGACAAGACAAAAAAAGCAAGGGAAUAAGGACAAAAGAAACAGGAAAAAAAAAAAAAAAAAAAAAAGGCUCAUUAAGACUAAUAGGAACCUAUCAAAAAUCCCUUGUUGGGACCAAAUUAAUGGCAAAGAACCACAAAAUGGGCCAAACACAUUGAAGGUAAAAGGAAUACAAAUAUGGACCAUUUGC